RNAcentral lists this ribosomal RNA (256 nucleotides) under uncultured bacterium. RNAcentral's name for it is "partial 16S ribosomal RNA". It matches the Rfam family "Bacterial small subunit ribosomal RNA", at positions 524 to 777 of the family's 1533-position model. The record is from RNAcentral.
UACGUAGGGUGCAAGCGUUAAUCGGAAUUACUGGGCGUAAAGCGUGCGCAGGCGGUUAUGUAAGUCAGAUGUGAAAUCCCCCGGGCUCAACCUGGGAACCGCGCUUGAGACUGGCACGCUCGAGUUCGGGAGAGGAUGGUGGAAUUCCCAGUGUAGAGGUGAAAUUCGUAGAUAUUGGGAAGAACACCGAUGGCGAAGGCAGCCAUCUGGACCGACACUGACGCUGAGGCGCGAAAAGCGUGGGGAGCAAACAGGG